RNAcentral lists this ribosomal RNA (464 nucleotides) under uncultured bacterium. Its description in RNAcentral is "partial 16S ribosomal RNA". It matches the Rfam family "Bacterial small subunit ribosomal RNA", at positions 28 to 507 of the family's 1533-position model. The record is from RNAcentral.
GACGAACGCUGGCGGCGUGCUUAACACAUGCAAGUCGAACGGAAAGGCCCCUUUGGGGGUACUCGAGUGGCGAACGGGUGAGUAACACGUGAGUAACCUGCCCUUGACUUCGGGAUAACUUCAGGAAACUGGGGCUAAUACCGGAUAGGAAUCCUUGCUGCAUGGUGGGGGUUGGAAAGCUUCGGCGGUUUUGGAUGGACUCGCGGCUUAUCAGCUUGUUGGUGGGGUAGUGGCUUACCAAGGCUUUGACGGGUAGCCGGCCUGAGAGGGCGACCGGCCACAUUGGGACUGAGAUACGGCCCAGACUCCUACGGGAGGCAGCAGUGGGGAAUAUUGCACAAUGGGCGGAAGCCUGAUGCAGCAACGCCGCGUGCGGGAUGACGGCCUUCGGGUUGUAAACCGCUUUCAGCAGGGGCCAAGCUUUUGUGACGGUACCUGCAGAAGAAGCACCGGCUAACUACGUG